UUUCGUAUGAUUCAGAGCUUUCGUAAGGAGGAGAUUCAUAGGAAUUGGAGUUUUCAGAAACUGCAGAACUUGUGUAUGCAGGAGUUUCGUAGGCACUGGACUCUUCAGAAACCUCAGUGCUUGUGUAUGCAGGAGUUUCGUAGACAUUGGAGUCCUCAGAAACAAAAUUUUCAAGCUUCUCAUGAAGCUCACCAACUCCUUGGAAAAUUUGAAGCAAGAAAUUCACUCCAUUAGCCACAUCAUAUACCAUGAGUCCUAUCCUACCUCCGACCCAACUUCCCAGAUGACUUCCAACCAGAUAGCCAAAGCGCCCAAGCCUAGCCUCACCAAGAAACCCUCCAGCAUAGGCACCAAACAAUGUUCCACUGCCCCUUAGGAAUCCUUCUGUUAUGGUACCGCCAUAAUAAAGAGCUUCAAAAAA
RNAcentral lists this unclassified non-coding RNA (421 nucleotides) under Hevea brasiliensis (rubber tree). The record is from RNAcentral. Lineage: Eukaryota; Viridiplantae; Streptophyta; Magnoliopsida; Malpighiales; Euphorbiaceae.